This 253-nucleotide ribosomal RNA is filed under the name uncultured bacterium. RNAcentral's name for it is "partial 16S ribosomal RNA". It matches the Rfam family "Bacterial small subunit ribosomal RNA", at positions 524 to 776 of the family's 1533-position model. The record is from RNAcentral.
UACGUAGGGGGCAAGCGUUGUCCGGAUUUAUUGGGCGUAAAGAGCGUGUAGGCGGCCAUACAGGUCAGCUGUGAAAACUCGAGGCUCAACCUCGAGACGUCGGUUGAAACCGUUUGGCUAGAGUCCGGAAGAGGAGAGUGGAAUUCCCGGCGUAGCGGUGAAAUGCGCAGAUAUCGGGAAGAACACCAGUGGCGAAGGCGACUUCUUGGCCUGUUCUUGACGCUGAGGCGCGAAAGCUGGGGGAGCAAACGGG